Molecule: ribosomal RNA, 405 nt
Filed under: uncultured bacterium
Lineage: Bacteria
Description: bacterial SSU rRNA
Rfam family: Bacterial small subunit ribosomal RNA
Source: RNAcentral
GGGGACAACACUCCGAAAGGGGUGCUAAUACCGGAUACGAAGUCUGUGCCGCAUGGUACGGAUUUGAAAGAUGGCCUCUAUUUAUAAGCUAUCGCCGGGGGAUGGGCCUGCGUCCGAUUAGCUGGUUGGUGGGUAACGGCCUACCAAGGCGACGAUCGGUAGCCGGUCUGAGAGGACUGAACGGCCACAUUGGGACUGAGACACGGCCCAGACUCCUACGGGAGGCAGCAGUGGGGAAUCUUCCGCAAUGGGCGCAAGCCUGACGGAGCAACGCCGCGUGAACGUGAGGAAGUUCUUCGGAACGUAAAGCUCUGUUGUUCCUGACGAACCUCCCCUCUAUCAACAACGGAGGGGACUGACGGUAGGGAACGAGGAAGCCACGGCUAACUACGUGCCAGCAGCAGC